UGCCUUUUUGCUCUUCCAUAUGUUCGUUCUGGUAUUUGAUGGUGGAAUGAUAGUGCGCAGUGCUUCAGUGUCCUGGCCGUAGCCAAGGCCAAACAUCCCGCUGAGAAGAUCAUUACGCUACAUCUAUUGUACACCCUCGGAGCAACAAGCUGUUGGAGCUUGAACAAUGCCAAGAGACCGAUGUGACCGUGCCUGAACUCCUUGUCUCCCCUCAAAAAAGAAAGAAAACAACAUUCGUAUAUCUCUCGUUCUAUCUCUUGUGGUGGCUCACAGAGUGUGGUAUGUUACGAUGAGACAAGAAAGAAAGAAAGAAAAAAAAAGGAGGGGGGGAGGGUGGUGGUGGUAGAAAAGAAUCAUUUGAUAUGACCAAAACGACCAGCAUUGGAUGUGAAGUUGGGCAAGUUGCAAGACAUUUUAGGCGCAAAUUGUAGUCGUAGAAAAUGCGCGUAUUUUAUUUUUUUUUUACGGUGAGGGACUGUUGUAAGCAAAGAGUUCGGUAUUAUUAUUAUAAAAAUUUUUUUUUUCUAUUUCUCGUGGGGGUUGGAGCGGCCCCUUGAGACAAAGCGAGACAGUUGAUCAAGGAGAAUCGUCCGACCUUGGCAAUCCUACCUUAUCUCAAAUCCUUUGGCUGUCAUUGACUUAUGAUACUCGACGAAUGUGAAUAUCUGUCAUUCACGUUGCCCACUUUCAGCUUGUCUCCCGCUACUAUUAUGUAUGAAUGUUUGGCUGCCUGUCUCGCCGAGCUGUAAACGACCGUAGGCAACACAGCAAAACAAGAAGAAGAAGAAGAAGAAGAAGAAGAAGGAAAAUAAAAUAACGUCAACAACAAAAAAAAUAUAGAAACGAUACGGGUGUUUAGAGAUGUGGCAUUUCAAGUAGCAGACGAGAAAGUUUUGGGAUACAGCGCAUAACAAAAAAAAAAAAAAAAAGAAUUUGAGGAUCUUUUUUUUGAGGUACUAUUUUCUAAGCAUCGAAUAUUUAUUCAGAAAAAAAAAAAAACACGAAAUAAAUAGGAAAAAAAAAAAGGAAGAACCGCCAUUGAAAAUGCGGAGAAGAAGGAACUCGAUUGUUUCCGCGUGACGAAGAGUCGCAUUUUCGCAUGACUCUAGCUGACUUUUUGGGUGAUUGCUCUGACAUUGACAAACGAGUUGGCCAUCGAGUAUGCAUUCAUAGAAGCCUUUUAGGAGUGCUGUUGAAGAUGGCCGUGUGUCUUGUUCGUUUGAAACGUGGCGCUCUCCCAUCGAGGACCUCCUCUUCUCCUCCUCUUUACCUUCGUUUCCCCUCCUUCAUGUAACUUCUUCUCUUUUUUAUUUUAUAUAUGUAUAUAUUUUUUACCUACCUCUUUUUCUUUCUUUCCUCUUGCUUCUUUUCAUUCCUCUUCUUACCUUUUCUUUGAUUCUUUUUAUAUAUAUAUAUUUAUUUUUUUUAUUUCCUACCUCCCCCCCCCCCACCUUUAUCAGCGGUUUUUUUGUGCCGGUAGUAGAGACUCGAAACGAUUUCAAUGAGAAAUUUUCAAAGGUUCAAAUUAUUCAUUCGUUCGUUCCCUUUUUGUUUUGUUUCUUUAUCUUGUGUGUGUGUGUGUGUGUGUGUUGUUGGUCGGCUUGUUGACGGACGGGUUCGCCAGAACUUUAGAAAGACAUUGGGACCCAUUGGUCUUUUUCACGUGGCGUAGAAAAACAGUAGCCCAUUCAAGUUAAAAAAAUAAAAUAAAAUAAAUAAAAUACUCGUAA
Molecule: long non-coding RNA, 1730 nt
Organism: Daphnia magna
Lineage: Eukaryota; Metazoa; Arthropoda; Branchiopoda; Diplostraca; Daphniidae
Exons: 2
Source: RefSeq, a predicted model, not a curated record